This 344-nucleotide ribosomal RNA is filed under the name uncultured bacterium. RNAcentral's name for it is "bacterial SSU rRNA". It matches the Rfam family "Bacterial small subunit ribosomal RNA", at positions 338 to 674 of the family's 1533-position model. The record is from RNAcentral.
CCUACGGGUUGCAGCAGUGGGGAAUAUUGCACAAUGGGCGCAAGCCAGAUGCAGCCAUGCCGCGUGUAUGAAGAAGGCCUUCGGGUUGUAAAGUACUUUCAGCGGGGAGGAAGGCGAUAAGGUUAAUAACCUUGUCGGUUGACGUUACCCGCAGAAGAAGCACCGGCUAACUCCGUGCCAGCAGCCGCGGUAAUACGGAGGGUGCAAGCGUUAAUCGGAAUUACUGGGCGUAAAGCGCACGCAGGCGGUCUGUCAAGUCGGAUGUGAAAUCCCCGGGCUCAACCUGGGAACUGCAUUCGAAACUGGCAGGCUGGAGUCUUGUAGAGGGGGGUAGAAUUCCAGGU